This 244-nucleotide ribosomal RNA is filed under the name uncultured bacterium. RNAcentral describes it as "partial small subunit ribosomal RNA". It matches the Rfam family "Bacterial small subunit ribosomal RNA", at positions 26 to 285 of the family's 1533-position model. The record is from RNAcentral.
AGAAUCAACGCUGGCGGCGUGCCUAACACAUGCAAGUCGAACGAGAAAGUGGAGCAAUCCAUGAGUAAAGUGGCGCACGGGUGAGUAACACGUGACUAACCUACCCUUGAGUGGGGAAUAACUGAGGGAAACCUUCGCUAAUACCGCAUAACACCUACGGGUCAAAGGAGCAAUUCGCUUAAGGAGGGGUCGCGGCAGAUUAGCUAGUUGGCGGGGUAAUGGCCCACCAAGGCAGUGAUCUGUA